CCCCAGAGGAACCACAGAGUUGGGAUGAGGACAGUGCAAGUGUGAGAGUGCUGGGUGUGAGGGUGCUGGGUGUGAGGGCACCAGGUGUGAGGGUGCUGGGUGUGAGGGCACCAGGUGUGAGGGUGCUGGUUGCGAGGGCACCAGGUGUGAGGGUGCUGGGUGCGAGGGCACCAGGUGAGAGGGUGCUGGGUGUGAGGGCACCACGUGUGAGGGUGCUGGGUGCGAGGGCACCAGGUGUGAGGGUGCUGGUUGCGAGGGCACCAGGUGUGAGGGUGCUGGGUGCGAGGGCACCAGGUGAGAGGGUGCUGGGUGUGAGGGCACCACGUGUGAGGGUGCUGGGUGUGAGGGUGCUGGGUGUGAGGGCACCACGUGAGAGGGUGCUGGGUGUGAGGGCACCAGGUGAGAGGGUGCUGGGUGCGAGGGCACCAGGUGUGAGGGUGCUGGGUGCAUGCAAGGAUCUUGCCCAGGAGGGAAGAGAGCUUUUGAUUGACAGGAGGGAAACAUCCUCUCAGAAGUCAAGGGAUGGCCAGAGUGUAGUUAAUGUGUUGCCAAAGGAUCCUUGUGUCCUCAUGAGCUCAGAGAGUGAGGCAUGAGAACUUGAGGUAGGCCGCAGUAGUGUUGGCCGUGGUGGCCAUGCAAACAUAAUGAACAGAGUGACAAGCAGAGUGGAGGAUCUUUAGGACCUGGACAAGGAUCCUGAACUGGGAGCCUCUGCCACUCAUUUUUAGAGGCUCCGUAUCUUCAACAGAGAGGAAUCCCCACCAGGACAAUAACAAGGAUGGCAAGAUCAACCAUAUUUUGUAAUGUCAGUGCCAGACACUGUGUGAGGCUCACAUAGUGAUUCAUUGAUGCCUCAAAAUAAAUCUUGUAGGCUAAACAUUCUUACUCCGGGCUACAGCAAGGAAAAUGAACCUCCAAGAGGCUAAGGACCUGUCUGAAGUGGCAAACGGUGGAGCCCAGAUGCAGCGAGUCAUGCUGAUCAUGCUGCUUCAGAGACCAUGCAGUCUUUUCUGGAGAGUCUUCUAUUUG
This 1029-nucleotide long non-coding RNA is filed under the name Pan troglodytes (chimpanzee). RNAcentral describes it as "long non-coding RNA NONPTRT008261". The record is from RNAcentral. Lineage: Eukaryota; Metazoa; Chordata; Mammalia; Primates; Hominidae.